This 442-nucleotide ribosomal RNA is filed under the name uncultured bacterium. RNAcentral's name for it is "partial 16S ribosomal RNA". It matches the Rfam family "Bacterial small subunit ribosomal RNA", at positions 338 to 795 of the family's 1533-position model. The record is from RNAcentral.
CCUACGGGAGGCAGCAGUGGGGAAUAUUGGGCAAUGGGCGCAAGCCUGACCCAGCAAUGCCGCGUGAAGGAAGAAGGCUUUCGGGUUGUAAACUUCUUUGACAGGGGAAGAGCAGAAGACGGUACCCUGAAAACAAGCCACGGCUAACGACGUGCCAGCAGCCGCGGUAAUACGUAGGUGGCAAGCUUUGUCCGUAUUUACUGGGUGUAAAGGGCGUGUAGCCGGGAAGGCAAGUCAGAUGUGAAAUCUGGAGGCUCAACCUCCAAAUUGCAUUUGAAACUGUUGUUCUUGAGUACUGGAGAGGCAGACGGAAUUCCUUGUGUAGCGGUGAAAUGCGUAGAUAUAAGGAGGAACACCAGUGGCGAAGGCGGUCUGCUGGACAGCAACUGACGGUGAGGCGCGAAAGCGUGGGGAGCAAACAGGAUUAGAUACCCGUGUAGUC